Molecule: ribosomal RNA, 460 nt
Filed under: uncultured bacterium
Lineage: Bacteria
Description: partial 16S ribosomal RNA
Rfam family: Bacterial small subunit ribosomal RNA
Source: RNAcentral
CCUACGGGAGGCAGCAGUGAGGAAUAUUGGUCAAUGGACGAGAGUCUGAACCAGCCAAGUAGCGUGAAGGAUGACUGCCCUAUGGGUUGUAAACUUCUUUUAUAUGGGAAUAAAAUGUUCCACGUGUGGGAUUUUGUAUGUACCAUAUGAAUAAGGCUCGGCUAACUCCGUGCCAGCAGCCGCGGUAAUACGGAGGAUCCGAGCGUUAUCCGGAUUUAUUGGGUUUAAAGGGAGCGUAUGUGGAUUGUUAAGUCAGGUGUGAAAGUUUGCGGCUCAACCGUAAAAUUGCAGUUGAAACUGGCAGUCUUGAGUACAGGAGAGGUGGGCGGAAUUCGUGGUGUAGCGGUGAAAUGCUUAGAUAUCACGAAGAACUCCGAUUGCGAAGGCAGCUCACUGGACUGCAACUGACACUGAGGCUCGAAAGUGUGGGGAUCAAACAGGAUUAGAUACCCCUGUAGUC